RNAcentral lists this ribosomal RNA (674 nucleotides) under Vairimorpha ceranae. RNAcentral's name for it is "SSU rRNA". It matches the Rfam family "Microsporidia small subunit ribosomal RNA", at positions 357 to 1067 of the family's 1311-position model. The record is from RNAcentral. Lineage: Eukaryota; Fungi; Microsporidia; Nosematidae.
GUAUAUGAGGUGAUUAAUUGGAGGGCAAAUCAAGUGCCAGCAGCCGCGGUAAUACUUGUUCCAAGAGUGUGUAUGAUGAUUGAUGCAGUUAAAAAGUCCGUAGUUUAUUUUUUUUAAGAAGCAAUAUGAGGUGUACUGUAUAGUUGGGAGAAAGAUGAAAUGCGACGACCCUGACUGGACGAACAGAAGCGAAAGCUGUACACUUGUAUGUAUUUUUUGAACAAGGACGUAAGCUGGAGGAGCGAAGAUGAUUAGAUACCAUUGUAGUUCCAGCAGUAAACUAUGCCGACGAUGUGAUAUGAAAAUGUUAAUUUGUAUUACAUAAUAGAAAUUUGAGUUUUUUGGCUCUGGGGAUAGUAUGAUCGCAAGAUUGAAAAUUAAAGAAAUUGACGGAAGAAUACCACAAGGAGUGGAUUGUGCGGCUUAAUUUGACUCAACGCGAGGUAACUUACCAAUAUUUUAUUAUUUUGAGAGAACGGUUUUUGUUUGAGAAUGAUAAUAGUGGUGCAUGGCCGUUUUCAAUGGAUGCUGUGAAGUUUUGAUUAAUUUCAACAAGACGUGAGACCCUUAUUAUUUAUUAAAGACAGACACAAUCAGUGUAGGAAGGAAAGGAUUAAAACAGGUCCGUUAUGCCCUCUGACAUUUUGGGCUGCACGCGCAAUACAAUAGAUAUA